Long non-coding RNA from Scylla paramamosain (green mud crab), 1696 nucleotides. RefSeq lists it as uncharacterized. NCBI's taxonomy places the organism in Eukaryota, Metazoa, Arthropoda, Malacostraca, Decapoda, Portunidae. The transcript has 2 exons. The record is from RefSeq and is a predicted model, not a curated record.
GCCAGGUCGGUGGUUUUCUCGCCCAAUUGGGCUCUUUUUCCUGGUAUUGGGCGUGAAAAACAUGGUUUCCGCGGUUUGGCGCUUUUUGGGCUCUUUUUACCGCAGUUGGGCUAUUUUCUGGGCUACUUAUAUUUGAAAAUAUAUAAUAUACUCUUGCCUUCCCGACAUACCAAAUGAGGGAGUAGACUCACUCGUAUGAUAAGGAGUGGCGCCAGGUCAGCCAGUAGAAGGGUGGUGUGAACAAGUCUCCCCUCUCCCUAAGGGGAUUACUACUAGGGCCGCAUGACCUCAUUAAGACUGUAGGGCAUCCAUCCUGAACACCUGCAUGCCGCACCCAUAAUUUCCACAUUCACCUCACAGCACACACACUGAAACACAGCCACUUUAUUUAUUCUCAGCCUCGUAGCUGCCUCAGCCUGCCUGGAGGAGAUACAAGUAUACUGGAUGCAGGCCACGUGCAUACGUGUGUACGUAUGCACGUGAACAUGAGCAAGUGGUCGAAAUACAGCAAAAAAUACUGUAAAGAGUGGGAACAAGAGGACGGGCUCAAGACAACAAAGUGUUAGCACCGUGUAUGCUGAAGGAACUGUGUUGUGACAUUGGCAAAAGUGAAUAUUCAUUGAUAAUACACGAAAGUACUGACAAUAAUAGGAAGAAAAAGCUGUGUAUUGUUGUUGUUGUUGUUGUUCGGUACCCAAGUUACGAACAGAAAAGAAUCAUAACAUCAUUCUUGGGACUUGUUGAACUCGAUAGAAGCACUGCUGAGGCUGUUACAGCAUCUUUGCUUGAGUUCCUGAAAAAAAGUAAAUCUGAACAUAAAAAAGUGUAUUGGUUUGGCAAGUGAUGGCUGUAACACAAUGUCCGGAGCACACAACUCCGUCACCUCACGAUUACGUGAAAUAAAUCCGGAGGUUACACACAUCAAGUGCAUUUGCCACUCGUUACAAUUAUGCAUGUCGUAUGCCAUGAAAAAACUACCUUCCCACCUUGAGUUCAUGGUAUCGCAGACAUAUAAGUAUUUUUCGAAUAGCUCUCUCCGACAGCAGAAAUAUAUGCAGAGGUGGGCUCUUGUUGGAGUAAAAGUGCGCGGGAAUACUGCCGCAGACCUGGCAACCCUGCCUGCGACCGACUCGCCUGAGUUGACACUAAGCCACGGUCAAGGUGAGACGUACGCCUCCGUGUUCUGGCGUCCCUCCGGAUAUUCUCGGUGCCACCGCGACUCUGGCACCCCUCUGUUGGGUGUGCGUGGUGCCCCUGGCCUGACACUCCACGCGGCUGCUGUACCUAUACCGUGCUCCGGGAGGACAGCAGCGAUGCCGCCCUCUCUGUGUUAUGCUGUGUUUGGCCCACGCUGUGUUUUUCACGUGUUUCUGAAGUAAUGUGAUCGCUGAAGGAGAGAAAUGCUGGCGUGAGGAGGCGAGACGUGCUUCCAGGCAGUGAGUGGAGGAGGAGGAGGAUGUCGUCGCUGGUGGAGGCACUGCAGGUGUCUCCCGCCCGCAGCCGGCGUAGGAAGCCCUCCACGGCGCAGAGCCUCUACAGGGGCGUCGUCAGGAGCAAGGUGAGAGGCGGCCGUCCGGACUUGUCACUCUUCCUCACCGUGUCUGUUUUCCUUCGCCUCCUCUCCCAUUGUCUCUUCAUCCUGCAGUCUUCCUCCUCUGACCUCCCUCUUCUUCAGCUUGCGAUCUUUCUCCUCUAA